AGAAUCAACGCUGGCGGCGUGCCUAACACAUGCAAGUCGAACGAGAAAGGGGAGCAAUCCCUGAGUAAAGUGGCGCACGGGUGAGUAACACGUGACUAACCUACCCUGGAGUGGGGGAUAACUGAGGGAAACCUUAGCUAAUACCGCAUAAUACCUACGGGUCAAAGGAGCAAUUCGCUUCAGGAGGGGGUCGCGGCCGAUUAGUUAGUUGGCGGGGUAAUGGCCCACCAAGACGAUGAUCGGUAUCCGGCCUGAGAGGGCGCACGGACACACUGGAACUGAAACACGGUCCAGACUCCUACGGGAGGCAGCAGUGGGGAAUUUUGCGCAAUGGGGGAAACCCUGACGCAGCAACGCCGCGUGGAGGAUGAAGUACUUCGGUACGUAAACUCCUUUCGAUCGGGACGAUAAUGACGGUACCGGAAGAAGAAGCCCGGCUAACUUCGCGCCAGCAGCCGC
Molecule: ribosomal RNA, 459 nt
Filed under: uncultured bacterium
Lineage: Bacteria
Description: SSU rRNA
Rfam family: Bacterial small subunit ribosomal RNA
Source: RNAcentral